GUGUCAGCCGCCGCGGUAAUACCGGCAGCCCAAGUGAUGGCCGAUUUUAUUGGGCCUAAAGCGUCCGUAGCUGGCCGCACAAGUCCAUCGGAAAAUCCACCCGCCCAACGGGUGGGCGUCCGGUGGAAACUGUGUGGCUUGGGACCGGAAGGCGCGACGGGUACGUCCGGGGUAGGAGUGAAAUCCCGUAAUCCUGGACGGACCGCCGAUGGCGAAAGCACGUCGCGAGGACGGAUCCGACAGUGAGGGACGAAAGCCAGGGUCUCGAACCGGAUUAGAAACCCCCGUAGUCC
Molecule: ribosomal RNA, 293 nt
Filed under: uncultured prokaryote
Description: partial 16S ribosomal RNA
Rfam family: Archaeal small subunit ribosomal RNA
Source: RNAcentral